RNAcentral lists this ribosomal RNA (119 nucleotides) under Gadus morhua (Atlantic cod). Lineage: Eukaryota; Metazoa; Chordata; Actinopteri; Gadiformes; Gadidae. The record is from RNAcentral.
GCUUACGGCCAUACCACCUUAGGCACGCCCGAUCUCGUCUGAUCUCGGAAGCUAAGCAGGGUAGGGCCUGGUUAGUACUUGGAUGGGUGACCGCCUGGGAAUACCAGGUGCUGUAAGCA